RNAcentral lists this ribosomal RNA (252 nucleotides) under uncultured bacterium. Its description in RNAcentral is "partial 16S ribosomal RNA". It matches the Rfam family "Bacterial small subunit ribosomal RNA", at positions 524 to 776 of the family's 1533-position model. The record is from RNAcentral.
UACGUAGGGUGCAAGCGUUAAUCGGAAUUACUGGGCGUAAAGCGUGCGCAGGCGGUUCUAUAAGACAGAUGUGAAAUCCCCGGGCUCAACCUGGGAACUGCAUUUGUGACUGUAGAGCUGGAGUACGGCAGAGGGGAUGGAAUUCCGCGUGUAGCAGUGAAAUGCGUAGAUAUGCGGAGGAACACCGAUGGCGAAGGCAAUCCCCUGGGCCUGUACUGACGCUCAUGCACGAAAGCGUGGGGAGCAAACAGG